Molecule: non-coding RNA, 697 nt
Organism: Cinara cedri
Lineage: Eukaryota; Metazoa; Arthropoda; Insecta; Hemiptera; Aphididae
Source: the annotation of a GenBank genome assembly
UUCCAGUAACUGAGUUCCAGAACUGCAAUAAACAAUGGAAACAUCGACUCCAGCGCUUUGUGGAUUCUCAGGGUAACUACUUUGAAGGAGACAAUGUAAAGUAGUUAUUUUAGUUUAAUAAAAACAUUUUAAAAAAUCAGUCUCAUUACUUUAUUUGCAAACCUCGUAAUAAUGUUUGAUUAUAUAAUUCAACUCUAAUUAUAAUAUAUAUAUAUAUAUAUAUACCAAAACGUUUAUUAUUCUGUUCUAAAUAUUUUAAUCUCGAUUCAGAGGGCUUAUGUGCAAUAUAAUACAAUGUUCAUUGUGAGUUUUCCUGUUGUCAGUGCUUAACUAAUAUUAUUUAAGCAGAGAUUAUUUUAUACUAUUGUUGCGGGUGACUGUUUCAAUGUUCGUGUUAUAUAUGACUUAAUUCAGAAAUUUUAAACGCAAUUUGUAUACAUUUGUAGAUAAGUAUAUUAUUUGUAUUAAAAUUAUUAAAAUUAUUCAAACUCUUUUAAUUAAAUUUGUAUUAAACAAACUAACGUGAAUGUGCCUGUAGUUGAUAGCUCCAAACUAGUGUCAAAAAGGGUCAUAGAUGGCUUGUAUUUAUACCUUGGACCCCUGGACUGAAUUUGCUUAUUACGCGCUUUUCGGGAAUAAAAUAUUGUUGCGUAGCCGGUGAACACCUCACGCAUUCGGCACUUGAUAUCCGGCUCUU